GACGAACGCUGGCGGCGUGCUUAACACAUGCAAGUCGAACGGAAAGGCCCUGCUUUUGUGGGGUGCUCGAGUGGCGAACGGGUGAGUAACACGUGAGUAACCUGCCCUUGACUUUGGGAUAACUUCAGGAAACUGGGGCUAAUACCGGAUAGGAGCUCUCGCCGCAUGGUGGGGGCUGGAAAGUUUCGGCGGUUGGGGAUGGACUCGCGGCUUAUCAGCUUGUUGGUGGGGUAGUGGCUUACCAAGGCCUUGCCGGGUAGCCGACCUGGGAGGAUGACCGGCCACAUUAGAACUGAGAUACGACCCAGCCUCCUCCGGGAGGCAGCGGUGGAGAAUAUUACACAAUGGGCGGAAGCCUGGUGCAGCACCGCCGCGUGCGGGAUGACGGCCUUCGGGUUGUAAACCGCUUUCGCCUGUGACGAAGCGUGAGUGACGGUAAUGGGUAAAGAAGCACCGGCUAACUACGUG
This 468-nucleotide ribosomal RNA is filed under the name uncultured bacterium. RNAcentral's name for it is "partial 16S ribosomal RNA". It matches the Rfam family "Bacterial small subunit ribosomal RNA", at positions 28 to 507 of the family's 1533-position model. The record is from RNAcentral.